UAAAAAUACUAAGUUCUAAAGGAGCUCUGUACAAAAGAAGACCGAAGCUCCAUUUUUCUUCUUCCCUCUUCUCGAUUCUCUCUGCAAAAGCUACAUUACUUCUUGAAGUUUCUCAAAUUAAAUCUUUCACUUUUGUUUAAUCACAAGAUGUGAACCUAAUUUGUGAAACCCAAAAGCCCUAACACCACUUGUUUUCUAAGAUUGUAUUCAAAUCAGGAGUAUAAAGUAAUUUUUCCAACAAUAUCAUCGUGUAAAGCCCUUCUCGGUAUUGAUGAUCUCUUUCGCUGGGAGGGUCCAAAUGACAGGAUGAGAUAAAGGUCGAAGUGGAACUGGUCGUGGACGUGUCCAUUUUCAAGGACGUGGUAAUUCUGGAGUGAUGCCUCAGUCACAAGUACAACCAAUAGGGAAUACUACUGCAUCUCCUAAGACAGGAGAAUCAAAUAAUCUCAGUCAAGAACCUCUAGACAGAGGACAAAUAUCAAGUAACCCUUGGCAGAGACCUUCUCUAAAGAUAGUAUCGUCAAGGAAUCUGGAUAGAAGUGCGCUUCCUCUCCUGAAGUUGAAAAUGGUGCAGGUUAGUUUUUGUUUUACUAAUUCUCUUUACUUAUUGCAAAAUAUAAUACUGGUAUAUGUUGGAUUGGUACGUGUUUAUCCCAAAUUGGGAUUAAUUUUACGAGGCAUAUGACAUGUUUGAUAAAAUACCUUAGAGAAAUCUUUGUUUAUAUUCUAUGCAGCUUUGAGAAUGCUAGCUUAUUUUAUGUUAUUGUUGUAAAGAAGUGUCAUCUUAUGUUAAAUUUGGAUUUGUUUCGGACGUUUAUAUUCUGAUGUAAUUCUGAAAUUCUGGAUAUGCAAAAUUUGGUUGGACAAUUUUAGAAAUAGGAGAAAAUUCAGACUCCUAAGUGUUUAUGUUGA
Non-coding RNA from Nicotiana tabacum (common tobacco), 912 nucleotides. The record is from RefSeq and is a predicted model, not a curated record. NCBI's taxonomy places the organism in Eukaryota, Viridiplantae, Streptophyta, Magnoliopsida, Solanales, Solanaceae.